UGAAGUGUUGAUGAACUUAAACACCAAAAACAAACCCAAACUCCAAAAAGCCCAACAGAGUAAAUUUUUAAUAAAAUAAAAGUGAAAACAAAGCAACUUCUAGGGUUUCUCCUCCCUGCUAUUGUUGUUGUUGUAGUUGUUGUUUUCCCCUUAUUUUCCUAACAGAGCCUUCUCAAAAACGACAUUCAACAAUGGCGAAUUCAAUGGCGAAGUCUUUCCUUCAAGUUGCAGCUACUGAAGAGGUUGUUUCUCCUCUCAGAGUUGUCCAGAUCGAAGGCCUGGUGAUAUUGAAAAUAAUCAAGCACUGCAAGGAAUUUUCACCUGCUCUGGUUACCGGCCAACUUCUUGGAUUAGAUGUUGGCAGUGUUCUUGAAGUUACUAACUGUUUCCCUUUCCCGAUCCGCGAGGAAGAUGAGGAGAUUGAAGCUGAUGGAGCUAAUUAUCAGCUUGAGAUGAUGAGAUGUCUAAGGGAGGUUAAUGUUGAUAACAACACUGUUGGAUGGUACCAAUCAACGAUUUUGGGUUCAUAUCAAACAGUUGAGCUCAUUGAGACUUUUAUGAAUUAUCAGGAGAAUAUAAGGAGGUGUGUAUGCAUUAUCUACGAUCCUUCGAGGUCUAAUCAAGGUGUCUUGGCUCUUAAGGCUUUGAAGCUAUCUGAUUCUUUUAUGGAACUUUACCGAGCUAAUAGCUUUACUGGAGAAAAGCUGAGGGAGAAAAACUUGUCAUGGAUGGACAUUUUCGAGGAAAUUCCUAUCAAAGUCUCAAAUUCUGCCCUUAUCAGUGCCUUUAUGACUGAGCUGGAAUCUGACACACCAGUUACACAGUGUGAUUAUGACCGUCUGCAAUUGUCAAGCAAUCCAUAUAUGGAGAGGAAUAUGGAAUUUUUGAUUGAAUGCAUGGAUGAUUUGUCAGUGGAACAGCAGAAGUUCCAAUUUUACUACAGGAGCCUGUCACGUCAACAAGCCCAGCAACAGGCAUGGCUUCAGAAAAGAAGGGCUGAUAACAUGCAACGAAAAGCUGCCGGGGAGGAUCCUUUGCCUGAGGAGGACCCUUCAAAUCCCAUCUUCAAGCCAAUCCCUGAGCCAUCACGGUUGGAGAGCUUCCUCAUAACAAAUCAAAUCGCAAAUUACUGCAACCAAAUCAACGGGUAUGUCUGUUUUUGAUCUAACAAUUAAUUUUUAGGAUAACCUGACUGACAUAACAUCUCCUGCAGGUUGACAUUUUGAAGCCUAGUAGUGGUUAUAAUGGUUUCUGGGCAGAGCUUCAACAGAUUGUAUUUAAUGAAAUCAUUGCACGAUAACUGAAACUCGCAAUGUCGUCUGCAAUUUUUUGCAGGUAUAAAUGAUGCAUUGUCUAGAUUAGCUGAAAAUUUUUGCAAUGUCUGAGUAGAAUUAUAAUUUAUGGUUAGUUGUGAUUUUUAUUUGAAGAUGAAGGUGAUUGAAAAUUUUUCCCAUGCUGUUAAUGUUUUACAUUUAAUCUGUAAGCCUGAUCAUCUGCCCGCAUUAAAUCUUAGUAUGCCAUUUGAAUAUUAAAUGACAUUUUUCUUUGGAUUUCACUAAA
Gossypium arboreum is the source of this 1560-nucleotide RNA transcript. It is a transcript of the gene named eukaryotic translation initiation factor 3 subunit H-like, with no coding region annotated. Lineage: Eukaryota; Viridiplantae; Streptophyta; Magnoliopsida; Malvales; Malvaceae. The transcript is spliced from 11 exons. The record is from RefSeq and is a predicted model, not a curated record.